CGGGCUCGACCCCGUGCGUUGAGCGCCGUGAGUUAUCGUUGAGCCAACACUUCGAUUAAGGGAACCGUUUUCCGCCGGUGGAAGUAAUGCCCCCGCCCGGGUGGGGGACUACGGAGAUCGGCGGUAGGUGCCCACCUGCGUGGGUGCAGGUUCAAGAUAGCGGCGCGGACGGCGGGGUGGAGCCCUG
Molecule: non-coding RNA, 187 nt
Filed under: Actinomycetota bacterium
Lineage: Bacteria; Bacillati; Actinomycetota
Description: Actinobacteria bacterium (hot springs metagenome) 6S RNA
Rfam family: 6S / SsrS RNA
About the family: E. coli 6S RNA was the first non coding RNA to be sequenced, but its function was unknown until recently. It consists of 184 nucleotides that fold into an extended hairpin structure with a large single-stranded internal bulge.
Source: RNAcentral